This 497-nucleotide ribosomal RNA is filed under the name uncultured bacterium. RNAcentral's name for it is "partial 16S ribosomal RNA". It matches the Rfam family "Bacterial small subunit ribosomal RNA", at positions 28 to 507 of the family's 1533-position model. The record is from RNAcentral.
GAUGAACGCUGGCGGCGUGCCUAAUACAUGCAAGUCGAGCGAACAGACGAGGAGCUUGCUCCUCUGACGUUAGCGGCGGACGGGUGAGUAACACGUGGAUAACCUACCUAUAAGACUGGGAUAACUUCGGGAAACCGGAGCUAAUACCGGAUAAUAUAUUGAACCGCAUGGUUCAAUAGUGAAAGACGGUUUUGCUGUCACUUAUAGAUGGAUCCGCGCCGCAUUAGCUAGUUGGUAAGGUAACGGCUUACCAAGGCAACGAUGCGUAGCCGACCUGAGAAGGUGAUCGGCCACACUGGAACUGAGACACGGUCCAGACUCCUACGGGAGGCAGCAGUAGGGAAUCUUCCGCAAUGGGCGAAAGCCUGACGGAGCAACGCCGCGUGAGUGAUGAAGGUCUUCGGAUCGUAAAAUUCUGUUAUUAGGGAAGAACAAAUGUGUAAGUAACUAUGCACGUCUUGACGGUACCUAAUCAGAAAGCCACGGCUAACUACGUG